Molecule: ribosomal RNA, 468 nt
Filed under: uncultured bacterium
Lineage: Bacteria
Description: partial 16S ribosomal RNA
Rfam family: Bacterial small subunit ribosomal RNA
Source: RNAcentral
GAUGAACGCUGGCGGCGUGCUUAACACAUGCAAGUCGAACGGAAAGGCCCUGCUUGUGUGGGGGGCUCGAGUGGCGAGCGGGUGGGUAACAAGUGAGUAAUCUGCCCUGGACAAUCGGAUAACUUCAGGAGACUGGGGACAAGACCGGAUAGGUGCUCCCGCUGAAUGGCAGGGGAUGGAAAGGUUCGGCGGGUUGGGAUGGGCUCGCGGCUGAUCAGCUUGUUGGGGGGGUAGUGGUUUGCCAGGGCAUUGACGGGUAGCCGGCCUGGGAGGGUGACCGGCCCCGUUGGGACUGGGCUGCGGCCCAGCCCCCUCCGGGAGGCGGCGGAGGGGAAUAUUACACAAUAGGAGGAAGCCUGAUGCAGCGCCGCCGCGUGCGGGGUAGCGGCCUUCGGCUUGUAAACCGAUUUCGCCUGUGACGAGGCGUGAGUGACGGUAAUGGGUAAAGAAGCACCGGCUAACUACGUG